This 174-nucleotide small nucleolar RNA is filed under the name Ochotona princeps (American pika). RNAcentral describes it as "Small nucleolar RNA SNORA74 (ENSOPRG00000023076.1)". Lineage: Eukaryota; Metazoa; Chordata; Mammalia; Lagomorpha; Ochotonidae. The record is from RNAcentral.
CCCAGCUGAAGGCACCUGCCUAGGUUGCUUGUACCUGGGCAAGUGUUACACUGUUGGGAGAAAAGCAGCCAACAGCUGGCAGGCAUUCUGGGCCUAGUUAAUGCCAAAUUUGUAUUAACUAUUCCAGUGUGACAGAAUAGUUGCCUAUUCUAUUCUUUUUUAAAUAUACAUAGU